Molecule: transfer RNA, 73 nt
Filed under: Propionibacterium freudenreichii
Lineage: Bacteria; Bacillati; Actinomycetota; Actinomycetes; Propionibacteriales; Propionibacteriaceae
Also listed under: 4 other names
Description: tRNA-Pro
Rfam family: tRNA
About the family: Transfer RNA (tRNA) molecules are approximately 80 nucleotides in length. Their secondary structure includes four short double-helical elements and three loops (D, anti-codon, and T loops).
Source: RNAcentral
CGGGGUGUGGCGCAGUUGGUAGCGCGCCUGCUUUGGGAGCAGGAAGUCGCCGGUUCGAGUCCGGUCACCCCGA